RNAcentral lists this ribosomal RNA (708 nucleotides) under Collyriclum sp. Xiphy3-Bsg. RNAcentral describes it as "SSU rRNA". It matches the Rfam family "Eukaryotic small subunit ribosomal RNA", at positions 134 to 749 of the family's 1831-position model. Lineage: Eukaryota; Metazoa; Platyhelminthes; Trematoda; Plagiorchiida; Collyriclidae. The record is from RNAcentral.
AUUACAUGGAUAACUGUAGUAAUUCUAGAGCUAAUACAUGCAACUAUGCCCUGACCCGCAAGGGAACGGGUGCAUUUAUUAGAACAGAACCAACCGGUUGUGGCUUCGGCUGCUUCCGUUCUAUUCUGUGAUGACUCUGGAUAACUUUACUGAUCGCAGUCGGCCUUGUGUCGGCGACGGAUCUUUCAAAUGUCUGCCCUAUCAAUUUACGAUGGUAGGUGACCUGCCUACCAUGGUGAUAACGGGUAACGGGGAAUCAGGGUUCGAUUCCGGAGAGGGAGCCUGAGAAACGGCUACCACUUCCAAGGAAGGCAGCAGGCGCGCAAAUUACCCAAUCCCGGCACGGGGAGGUAGUGACGAAAAAUACGGAUACGGGACUCAACAGAGGCUCCGUAAUUCGAAUGAGUACAAUUUAAAUCCUUUAACGAGGAUCAACUGGAGGGCAAGUCUGGUGCCAGCAGCCGCGGUAACUCCAGCUCCAGAAGCGUAUAUUAAAGUUGUUGCAGUUAAAAAGCUCGUAGUUGGAUCUGGGUUGCAUGGUUACGUGCCGUCACUUGUAUUCCCGGUUCGGCCUCGGUUGGGCUGGGUUUGUGAGUCGGUGUUGUGGCUGUGUAGCCUUUCUGCCGUGUCUGUUUCGACAGGUGCUGAUGGUUCAUCCGUUGGCAUGCUUCCAGAUGCCUUUAACCGGGUGUCGUGGGCGGACGGCAA